UCCCAUUUCUAGAUAUAAAAUAUAAAAUUUAGAUUGAUAUUGUUUAUAAAAAUAUGUAUAUUACGUAUGAAAAAUUAGAUAUUGUGAAAAUUAUGAAAUCUCUUUAAUUUGACUAUGAUUCGAAUUUAGCCAAUAGGACUGAUCAUUAUUCACACGUCAGAAAUUAAUUUCUUCUAAACCUAACUAAUCGAAUUGGUCGCUAGCUAAACUAGAUCUUUUUGAAUAUAGCCAGUCGAGGCGAAUCGUUGGCGUACAUC
RNAcentral lists this long non-coding RNA (257 nucleotides) under Elaeis guineensis (African oil palm). RNAcentral's name for it is "long non-coding RNA (EGUI_LNC074055)". Lineage: Eukaryota; Viridiplantae; Streptophyta; Magnoliopsida; Arecales; Arecaceae. The record is from RNAcentral.